CCAGUAUCACCUGCCCUUCUCUGUUGCUUCUUUCCUUCUUCCACUCAUCAAUCGCAGUAAUCCUUCGGUUCUUCAGUUCUUCAGUCUUCCUCCUGUCUUCAUCUUUUUCGUUGGCGCUCCCAGCAUCAUACUGUUCCACUCUGAAGCGCCAUGAUUCCCUGAUCGAAGACACAAACACAACUCCGAGCAACACACAUGUAACUUUCACAUAUUCCAUGUACACAUAGACCCUCUGUUUCAUCAGUUCUCUGCACCAUCUUCCCGUGCCACCCACUUCUCCGGACACAAAUAACUCAAGAGCAGGAGGACGGUCCAGUAAACUUACCGGAUAAGGUCGCAAAUUCCUCUUUCUCGUGGAGAGCACACGCACAGUAUGAACACCAGGAAAUCCAAUUAACGGCAACCCAAGAUUAGUUGUCGUCAUCAUCUUUCCUGUGACCAACAGCAGAGCAAAUCUGGAACUUCGGUCGCAGCGGUAACAGAUCUGGUCAUGCUGAACUCCAGAUCUACCGAUCUGAGCACCCCGGCAAGGUAAAACAGCCGAUGUGACAGCAAAAGGGUGAAUUAAAGAAGCCAAGAAAUAAGCAAUGAAAGAAUAACCUAGCUGGCCCUGAGAUCUAACGUGCGGCGCUGCGCUAUGCCUGGAGGUAUGAGCCUUGUGGCAGCAGGUUAAGUUAGUUGGCGGCGCUCUCUUUGUGCGCGGCGGCGGGGACACCCGCCGCCGGCAGCGCUGGCUUCUCCUCGUGGAUGAAGAAAGCGUAGAAGCCCCCACAGGAGGUUGCCGCCGCCAUGGCCCAAACGACGAGUUUGACGGCGAGGGGCAUGAUUUCUGCAACCUUGUAGCUAAACAUGACGGUGAGCAGAGUCGUGAGCCCCCAUACGGCUGCCUUGACCGUCUCUCGCUUAGGGGAGUGGCGGUCCAGGCGCUCGUAGUAGCGCAGGCAGGCGAACAGGGCGACGAG
Molecule: long non-coding RNA, 962 nt
Filed under: Setaria viridis
Lineage: Eukaryota; Viridiplantae; Streptophyta; Magnoliopsida; Poales; Poaceae
Description: long non-coding RNA (SVIR_LNC005014)
Source: RNAcentral